GUGGGGAAUAUUGGGCAAUGGGGGAAACCCUGACCCAGCGACGCCGCGUGAGGGAAGAAGGCCUUAGGGUCGUAAACCUCUGUUGUGUGGGAAGAAGAGCGUGACGGUACCACACGAGGAAGUCCCGGCUAACUACGUGCCAGCAGCCGCGGUAAUACGUAGGGGACGAGCGUUGUCCGGAUUUACUGGGCGUAAAGGGCGCGUAGGCGGUCAUUUAAGUCAGCUGUGAAAUGGUUUGGCUUAACCGGAUCAUGCGGUUGAAACUGGAUGACUGGAGUGCUGGAGAGGCAAGUGGAAUUCCCAGUGUAGCGGUGAAAUGCGUAGAUAUUGGGAAGAACACCGGUGGCGAAGGCGACUUGCUGGCCAGUAACUGACGCUGAGGCGCGAAAGCCAGGGGAGCAAACGGGAUUAGAUACCCUAGUAGUCC
Molecule: ribosomal RNA, 427 nt
Filed under: uncultured bacterium
Lineage: Bacteria
Description: partial 16S ribosomal RNA
Rfam family: Bacterial small subunit ribosomal RNA
Source: RNAcentral